Molecule: small RNA, 51 nt
Filed under: Arabidopsis thaliana (thale cress)
Lineage: Eukaryota; Viridiplantae; Streptophyta; Magnoliopsida; Brassicales; Brassicaceae
Description: ATSL192960
Source: RNAcentral
AAAUAUACAUCUCCAUCGUCUUCUUCCUUCCUCCCUCUUCUAAUCCCAGAU